ACCAUAAAGGCCUACUCUGGCCAUGAUUGUGCACCCUUCACUCAGCAACAUGCAAAAUACCGAUGUGCUAUAAGUACUGCCUCAGCUGAAACCAACACAACAAACCAGCCUGAACAGUUUUUCUUGUCCUGUGAAGUCCUGGAUCUUCUAUGAAAGAGAACAAGCACUUCUACAAUGAUUUCUAGAAUAUCCUGCUAUCUGUGAUGGCCAUCCUUUUGCGAUCAUAGGGUCAUAAUUUAUGAUUCAGGAUUCAGAUCUGUGCCAUAAAUACUAUGCAAAUUAUUCUAUGCUAAAAAAUAAAUCUAGCAACAAACAACUCUAUAUGUCUGUUAGCUUGUGAACAGUAUAAAUAUUUUUAUUUCACUACAUACAAAUCUAUGGAAAUAAUAAGAAUAGGAAAAAAUAUUCAUAAUAUUAUUGAAUUCUAUUUUUAUCACCUUUUUUUCUUAUUUUCAAGUCUGCCAGCAAGAUGGGUCUGCUUUAAAUAUUCAUUGCUAGUGUCUCACAAAGUAGAUGAUGAUACUUAUUAUUAUUUAGGAUUCAGGAAUAUCUGUAUUUCUCUGUAGUAUACAGUUCUCAUCUUCGUUCUGAAAACUAAUUUUUAUUUCUGUAGAAUGGAGUCCAUAUGCUCAGUAACGGAGAAACUGCUUCUGAGAAUAUAUUAGUUCUAAUUUGGAAGUCUAAUUAUAAAUGCUGCUGGGAAGGUCAUAUUUCAAAAAUAAUGAUGUUAAAACUCUCCUGGUAGGAAAGGUCUUACAGUUUGAGAAUCUCUUUCCUUCUACUUAACUGAUUUGUAAUUCCUUGCCAUCAUUAUAAAUACAUAAGCAUUGCCUCGUAACAUCAUAAAAUAUUCAAAAUUUUUGGAAUCAACAGUUUUCUGUUACUUUCCUUCUGAUCUAAAAUAUAAAGUUGAUGAAUGUCAGAUCCUUACCUCUGAGAGGUUUAAACAAACAAAAAAGAGAUAGAAGACAACACCAUAAGCUUGGUGGGCUGAUAUUAUAAAAACUUCUGAUGUCUUCGGACUGAAAUUAAACACUUUAUUCAGAACGCUACUUACUAGAAGGAUAAUGUAAACCUAGAAGUAAAAUGCUUCACCUUGAAUUAUAUCUUUAAGUUUCAUUUUUUUUUCAAUUCCCUUGUUU
Molecule: long non-coding RNA, 1142 nt
Organism: Gallus gallus (chicken)
Lineage: Eukaryota; Metazoa; Chordata; Aves; Galliformes; Phasianidae
Source: Ensembl